This 2675-nucleotide unclassified non-coding RNA is filed under the name Hevea brasiliensis (rubber tree). Lineage: Eukaryota; Viridiplantae; Streptophyta; Magnoliopsida; Malpighiales; Euphorbiaceae. The record is from RNAcentral.
AAGAAAGAGUGCAAAUGUGCAAUUAAAAUCAAAGAAAAAUUUGCCUUUUCAACCUAGCAAAAGCAAUGAGUUUGGAGGAGAGGACAAAAGAGACAUAAAUAAAAAAAAAAGGAAAGAAGAAAUCUUCUUAUGUGAAGAUGAUAGUUGAAACGCAAGCUCAUAGAUUGGUGCUUCUCUCUGCCUCUACUUGUAUUUACACUCCCAGUUCCCAAUCUCAUAAAAGCUGUCAUGUUCAAGCUGGCCUCUUUACUCCAAGAUUUCCAUUACCCAUUUCUACUGGGCUUCGCACAUGGACAUAUCGCUUCAAAUUAGCUGUCACUGACUCUUCCCUCUCCGCUCCUCCUACUCCACCACCGCCUGACAAGGAUGAUGCACAAAGGAAGGUGCCUGAGCUACAAACGCUAUUCAGAAGAUUUUGGAAAGUGGCUGCUCCGUAUUGGUUCUCAGACGACAAGGUCCAAGCCAGAUUGCAGUUGGGAGCUGUCUUUGCUCUCACGUUGGCCACCACUGGUAUCAGCGUUGGAUUCAAUUUCCUCGGCCGCGACUUCUAUAAUGCCCUUGCUAACAAGGAUCAAGAACAGUUCACCAAGCAACUGCUAUACUACCUGGGAGGCUUUGCUGGAGGAAUUCCGUUCUUUGUGCUAAGAGAUUAUGCCAGAGAAAUCCUUGCUUUGAGAUGGAGAUCUUGGAUGACAAAAUAUUACAUGGAACGCUAUCUGAAGAAUCAAGCAUUUUACAAAAUUCAAUCCCAAUCAAUCAUUGAUAAUCCCGAUCAGCGAAUUGUUGAUGACCUAAGUUCCUUCACAGGGACAGCCCUUUCUUUCUCAUUGAUACUUUUCAAUGCUGCUGUAGACUUGAUAUCAUUUAGUAACAUCUUGUAUGGCAUUUAUCCCCCAUUGUUUGUUGUCCUUCUUCUAUAUUCUGUGGGUGGAACUGCAAUUAGUGUUUAUCUUGGAAGGGGAUUGGUGACUCUGAAUUUCUUGCAAGAGAAAAAAGAAGCAGACUUCCGCUAUGGACUUGUACGUGUUCGGGAAAAUGCUGAAUCAAUUGCUUUCUAUGGCGGUGAAGAAAAUGAAAUGCAACUUCUGCUGCAGCGCUUCAGAAGUGCUUUUGAAAAUUUAACACAAUUGUUGAUAUCUUCUAGAAAUCUAGAGUUCUUCACCAAUGGCUACCGGUACUUAAUUCAAAUUCUUCCCGCUGCUGUUGUUGCUCCUAUGUAUUUCUCAGGCAAAAUUGAGUUUGGUGUUAUUAAUCAGUCAGUAUCUGCUUUUAACCAUAUCCUUGGAGAUUUUUCUCUCAUUGUUUACCAGUUUCAAUCCAUCAGUGCUUUUUCAGCCGUCAUUGAUCGAUUAGGUGAAUUUGAUGAUGUCUUGGAUAGCAGCAGCUCUAAGCAACUGCCUGAGUUAUCAGAAGAGAUUUCUCUUUCAUACUGCAAUUAUAGAAGUUCACUCAUUUUGGAGUUUAAUGGGUCUAUUCCAGUUGACAGUCGCCAAAAAUUGCUUAGUAUAGAGAAUUUGACUCUACAGACACCAACAAGUAAAGCUACACUGAUUAGGGACCUGUCAUUGGUCAUCAAUGAGAAAGAUCAUUUGCUGGUAAUGGGACCUAGUGGGAGUGGUAAAACAUCACUGUUAAGAGCUUUAUCUGGUCUUUGGAAUGUUGGAAGAGGAAAAAUAACUUUCUAUCUUAAUGAUGGGGAUGAUCCUCAAUUGCCCACGUCUUCAGAACUGCCUGCUAAUGAAAUAAAUACUUCACAUGAAAAUGCUGGGGAACUUGAAGGGCCAAUUAAUAGAAACUCUAGAGGCAUAUUUUUUCUUCCUCAAAGACCAUAUAUGGUUUUGGGAACACUUCGUCAACAAUUGCUUUACCCUACAUGGGCUGACGAUAAAACUCCAAUGUCAGAUGGUACUAAACCAGUAGGUUCAGUGUCUUUCUUGAUGGGGAAAACAAACUCAGAAAAUGUGAGAGGAAAGCCCGGCAAGCCCACAACAGAUGAUUUAAUACAGGUUUUAGAGAAUGUUCGUCUUGGCUACAUAUUAUCACAAUUUGGUAGUCUGGAUUCAACAUAUGAGUGGUCCAGUGUUCUUUCCCUUGGAGAGCAGCAACGCCUUGCUUUUGCGCGACUAUUGCUUUCAAAACCAAAGCUGGUUCUAUUAGAUGAAUCUACCAGUGCUUUAGAUGAAGUCAAUGAGGCACAUCUGUACCGGCAAAUUGAAGCAGCAGGCAUAACCUAUGUUAGCGUUGGCCACAGACGUACUCUAUAUAAACAUCACAACAUGGUCUUACGCAUAUCCACAGCAGAUCUCAACCGUAACAAACGGAACUGGGACAUUGAGUCCAUAAAUCCUGGAGCCUUGUAUAAUUUGUCUAGUCAGUAACUAGUGUGCAUGGUAGCUGCAUUAGUAUCUAUGCCAUGGUUUAUAUAAAAUUGAAACCUGUAAUUUCCUCCAAAUAGAAGGGCACAAAUGCAAAGGAGCAGUAAUAUUUCAGUAAAGAUUACACUCUCAGAUGUCAAUGCCAAUUGCUUGGUCGGAUUCUUCAAAUCUCGGUAGAUGAAAGAUAUUUUAAAAAAUUAGCUUUCUUUUUGCAUAUGAAUUUUGUUUUAUUGCAAUUAAUAAGAAUGUAAUUAGAUGGAUAACAUAGCACUAUCGAGUGAGAGCACUAUUCAAACGGAC